GAUGGAGAAUAUAUUGGUCAUCGGUUUCGCAUGUCACGAAGUGUCCAUCUCUUUGGCACUUGGAUUCUCCCUUUCUCACACCGUGAAAAGAUACUCUUCUUCAUCCCAUCAUUUCAAACAUCACAAAUUCGAUUCUCCCAUUAUCUUUAGCGUUUCUAUGUUACCACAAAGUCUCUCUAUAUAUCCCUUCAUUUCGAAGAAACGAAGAUGCUUUUGUAGGUAUUGUGUUUCUUCUUCUUUCUGCUAUUCCCUGAUCGAAUACUCUUCACCUAGAGUGUCAUAUCUUGCCAACUCUGUGUUACCUCUCUUUGAAGUUUUAAUAUUCUAAACCAUACUCUUGGUACACCAUAAAACUUUUAAAUGAGUUUUAAAAAGGUCUCCAUUUUGAGGAAUCCAAAGAUGUGUCUUAACAUGCCACAUCUUUUAAUUUAUUGAAAUAGUGCUCAGUUCCAUCCCUAAAUCACACUAUUUAGUGGGUCUACGAUUUAGUGACAUUCAUGUCACAAUACAAUUUUCUCAACAGAUAAUCAGGUUGCGCACCUCUCAAUAAAAAAUAUGUUUUACUCAAUCCUCAAAGAAUUUCAUCUUGAAAUCUUUUAUGUUAAAAAAUAGAUUCAAAACCAAAGCAUAACAUUAUAUUGUGAAUCCCAAAUAAUACCUUUCUUUAGAGAAGUAAAUAAGUGACAUUCUCGUUACAAAAUAAAUCAUACUGCAGAAUUCCAAGAUGAACACUAUUUAAUAAAAUUUUCUUCUCUCCACCCACAAGGAAUUUCCUUUUCAAACCCAUUUUGUUUGAAAGUAGACACAGGAUGGUAAUACAUAUGUUUCCACAAGCUUCAUAUCACUUUGUUAAGUAGGCUUGAUAAAUGUAGCUAUUCAUGUCUCAAUAAAGUAAACAACAAAUUGCAGAAAAUUCAGGAUGACCUUUCUUCAAUUCAAAAUUUUUAUUUCUCUUUUCUCAUAAAUAUUUAUCUCUCAAAUAAAUUUUAUUAGAAACUAGACUCAAAAUGGAAGUCUAGAAACUUGGUGUGGGCCUUAAAACAUUAUGUAAAGAAUGAAAAUAAACUCAUGACUUUCAAGUCAUUGAGACAAUUUUCGUUGCAGAAAACAACACUUGCGCACCCUUCAAUAAAAUGAUCAUAUCUUUCAAACCACAAAGGAUUUCUUCAUAAAACCAUUUUUGUAAAUUUCAGCUAAAAAUAAAUCAUAUGCUUGGCGGAUAAAUUCAUGGAACUCAAUGGAUAGUUCCUGGAUUUUACAGGGUCAGAACUGACACCCUUUAUUGAUGAGUUCAUAACUCUCAAUUCCCUUAGGAUCUCCCAUUGAAAUUUUGCAGAUAAUCCUACUUUAAAAAACACAUAAUAUCAUUGAAGUAUGCAAUACAAAAAUGACUCAUUAUGUUCUUCAUAUCACUUCUCCAAAAUAGCGCAGAAUACCCAUUAUGCAGGGUGCUUUUUUCGGCGUUUGAAUAUUCCAAGAAUUCCUAACUGGAGGUGUAUUACUUGACCACAAAGGUCAUUAGCUUUCUUAUAUUUCUUUUCCAAGCUAGAUCUAGACUCAAAUCAAGAGAAAAGACCACUAAUGACAACAAAUAUCAAUAACUCUGAUACCAAUGAAAGAAAGGCUCAUGUGAUCUAGCCGGAGUAUAUAAUAAAUUUUUUUCUUUCUUCUUCAAUUCUUUUUCUUUUCUUCACAACCUAGAUCACUCAUAAGUAGUCCUUUUACAAUAUAAUAAUUUCAAAUAAAAUAAAAGAAAAGAAUAUAAUAGCAUCUCAAGAAUUUGAAGCCAUUCAAAACGACACUUCUCAUUAACAAAGAAAAGACAUGACCUAUGCUUGGUAAUAAAAGAUAUAACAAAUAAAUAUGGAAGAAACAAAAGAUGGUGUCGAAGAUUACCUCAACUAGGCUUCUUACACCUCAUACUGAGUCACCACCUUCCGAUAGUGCGGGAUUUAAUGGUUAACCUUCCAUCUCAACCAGGAAAGCAAGUUUGGACAAGCCACACCAAUGGAACAUGAACCCCGUUGAUCAUAAAUUCAAACCCUAGGUGAAUUCCCUUAGUAACUUAGUUUGAGAGAGAUGCUUCUCUUUUCUACCACAACCCUGUAGUCUAAAACCCCAAUGAGAGAUGAGAGAUCAUGAGAGAAGAUGAGAGAUCAUGAGAGAAGAUGAGAGACACGAUUAGAGAGUAGAGAGAACCACCAUGAGAUGAGAGAGAGAGUGGGGCGUGCCCCCCUUGGCCCUUUCA
Molecule: long non-coding RNA, 2248 nt
Filed under: Amborella trichopoda
Lineage: Eukaryota; Viridiplantae; Streptophyta; Magnoliopsida; Amborellales; Amborellaceae
Description: long non-coding RNA (ATRI_LNC005298)
Source: RNAcentral